GGGACUAUGAGGGUUUGUAGUUUAAUUCCUGCUCUUGCAGGAUCAGUGAGUGUCUGUUUAAAGAUAAACCUCAUUAACAAACUUAAACCUCUGCUCCCCCACGACAUCACCAACACUUCUGCAGGACAGAACCCCCUGAUUUAAUCUACCAUAAUGCUCUCUGUUCUGUUGUCAUGGCAACAUGAAGUCAAAAAAUACAAAUACAAAAAUGCAAAAGAACAGGAGGACAACAAGACAGGCAGCUGGAAGAGCUUUUGAAGCAGGAAAACUUUUCUGGAUUUAUCUUAACUUAACUGGAAAUUUUGCUAAACAAGUCAAGCUGGAAACAAGGAGACAGCUGGUUGGAUUAUAUCUGAGGACAGGACGCAUGAAGGAGAAGCAUGAGGAGAGAGAAAACAGCAGAGAGAUGGUGUGGAGCUAAUCGUGGAUCAAGUCAAAGAAGCAAGCAUCAAAACUGGGAUGCCCCUCCUCCUUCCUGUCGUUCAGUCACUUGUCAACAAUCAGCUGAUUGCUCCCCUGCUCCUCAUGAGGUCUUCAUGCUGGCUUCUCAACAACCACAUCAUUGCAUCACCAAGACCUUUCAGCUUUUUCGGAUCCCUGCAAUCUUCUAUGACAGUGUCUGAGUGUGCCUUCAGACAGCCUGCAGUACCUCUGCCCGUCUCCUGGAGCCCACAGUGUUUAUCCUGUAUUCAUAACUAUCUGCAAAUAAAC
Long non-coding RNA from Oreochromis niloticus (Nile tilapia), 711 nucleotides. RefSeq lists it as uncharacterized. Lineage: Eukaryota; Metazoa; Chordata; Actinopteri; Cichliformes; Cichlidae. The transcript has 3 exons. The record is from RefSeq and is a predicted model, not a curated record.